CGCCUACGGGAGGCAGCAGUGAGGAAUAUUGGUCAAUGGGCGGGAGCCUGAACCAGCCAAGUCGCGUGAGGGAAGACGGUCCUAUGGAUUGUAAACCUCUUUAGGCGGGGAGCAAUGCCGGGCACGCGUGUCCGGAGGGGGAGUACCCGCAGAAUAAGCAUCGGCUAACUCCGUGCCAGCAGCCGCGGUAAUACGGAGGAUGCGAGCGUUAUCCGGAUUUAUUGGGUUUAAAGGGAGCGUAGGCCGGCUUUUAAGUCAGCUGUGAAAGUCCGCGGCUCAACCGUGGAAUUGCAGUUGAAACUGGG
Molecule: ribosomal RNA, 305 nt
Filed under: uncultured bacterium
Lineage: Bacteria
Description: bacterial SSU rRNA
Rfam family: Bacterial small subunit ribosomal RNA
Source: RNAcentral